This 460-nucleotide ribosomal RNA is filed under the name uncultured bacterium. Its description in RNAcentral is "partial 16S ribosomal RNA". It matches the Rfam family "Bacterial small subunit ribosomal RNA", at positions 338 to 795 of the family's 1533-position model. The record is from RNAcentral.
CCUACGGGAGGCAGCAGUGAGGAAUAUUGGUCAAUGGACGAGAGUCUGAACCAGCCAAGCAGCGUGAAGGAAGACGGCCCUAUGGGUUGUAAACUUCUUUUAUAUAGGAAUAAAAUGUUCCACGUGUGGGAUUCUGUAUGUACCAUAUGAAUAAGGAUCGGCUAACUCCGUGCCAGCAGCCGCGGUAAUACGGAGGAUCCGAGCGUUAUCCGGAUUUAUUGGGUUUAAAGGGAGCGUAGGUGGAUUGUUAAGUCAGUUGUGAAAGUUUGCGGCUCAACCGUAGAAUUGCAGUUGAGACUGGCAGUCUUGAGUACAGUAGAGGUGGGCGGAAUUCGUGGUGUAGCGGUGAAAUGCUUAGAGAUCACGCAGAACUCCGAUUGCGAAGGCAGCUCACUGGACUGUAACUGACACUGAGGCUCGAAAGUGUGGGUAUCAAACAGGAUUAGAUACCCGAGUAGUC